Molecule: transfer RNA, 88 nt
Filed under: Candidatus Bathycorpusculum sp.
Lineage: Archaea; Thermoproteati; Candidatus Bathyarchaeota; Bathyarchaeia (SeqCode); Bathyarchaeales (SeqCode); Candidatus Bathycorpusculaceae
Also listed under: 2 other names
Description: tRNA-Leu
Rfam family: tRNA
About the family: Transfer RNA (tRNA) molecules are approximately 80 nucleotides in length.
Source: RNAcentral
GCAGGGGUCGCCGAGCAUGGUCAAAGGCGUAGGCUUCAGGAGCCUAUCCUGCAGAGGUUCGUGGGUUCAAAUCCCACCCCCUGCACCA